UUCAUAUGUCGACAAAAUAGCGCACACGGGAGCAGGGAAAAGGAGCGAAGGAAGGAGGAGGGGGAUACGCUUGGAAUUGCAGUUUGACGGCGUCGUCGAAAAGUUCCACACAAAGAAUGGACCAGCAGCCGGUAGGGACUAGGGGACAAACUUUCAUGGAUUUGAUGGAGGACAAUCUCUUCCAAGGCAGUCAAUACGUAGAGGAUUACAUCUGGACUUCUUUAUAGAGGCACACGAGAAGGAUUCAAAGUUUUUUUCACACGGAUUUGGAUCUAGCUUGAAGGAGCUGAGUGAGCACAUUUUGGGGUAACAUCUCGAGAGGAAAUGGGGAGAAAAGUAAAAAUAAGUGAAGAGAAGACGGCUUCAUCCUCGCUUUAAUGAACUCUUCUAUGUUCGAAUAGGCUGUCCUAUAAAGUGGAUGCCUUUCUUUCACGUAGCAUUGCAUGCUUUUAAACCAUGACAUUAAUAACUACUAUUCGAUGAAUGAAUUAAGGUAUAAUAAUCAGAAAGCUGUCAGGGCUUUGUUUCGCGAUGUCAACUGUUGCGCGAGUGUUGGGUAGCAUUUGUGUUUAUGAAAUUUGAGCAUGAAAGAGACUACAAUUUGCUUAAAACGGUUAGGCUACUUUGUAGCACUGGGUCGAUGUAACUCUUGAGAGAAGUUAAGCCUUUUUCGUUCGUUAAAUUGAGAAUCCAAACCCCUCCCCACUUCUGUUUGAAUUGUCCGAUAAAGUUACAUCCCUAAAACAUAUGGCAUAGAAUAGCUGUCUUUUGACCACUGAAACGGUAGGCUACACAGAUGAUGUGGCUAUGAUCCAUUAUAACAGGCUACUUAGACCGAACAAUUGCUAUAGCCUAUUUGACCUACAUGUGACGUGAAUCAGAUUGUCUUUGAUGGCGUUUUUUAUCGUUCAGAGAGAUUUUGAUCGUAAUUACACUUUCAUAGCACAUAUUCGGUGCACACAAGCUGGACACUACCUUUUGGUGGGAAGAUUGUUUUUUAGUUCUGUUUGUAGUCCACAACUGGACAACGACGAUAUUCCAGUGGUCACUACCGGGACAGGCAUCUUGACCGAGUGCCUGAUGGUCGACCAAGACCACUCUGAAAAUUCAGAUUUUUGCUGGAUUUAACGCUGAACCUGGAAUCUACCUUAAUUCGCCUUUAAACGAAGAACGCCACAUCCUGUAUCGUAUGCCUGUGUGACUGUGACCAGGCAUGCAGCUGAAUCCACCAAAGAGCGCUCUAAUCAGCUUCACUCCGCCGCUGUUGCCCUCAGAGACACCACAUUCCUUUUCUAGUCAGUUCAAAACAAUGCGGUUUUCAUACCACAUCAGCAGCGGCUUGCCGAGUCCUCAGCCGGCACUGAGAAGGAUAGGCUUCAAAGGGGCAUAAAAGUUGUUUUGAACCAGCCUUGAAAGAAAAUCUGUACAUUAGCGGGGGAUGUGCUGUACGCUACUUCAAGCAUGGAGAAAGCCUACACAUGAUGAAAAGUCAUCUUGAUCCUGCACUCAGGCGAUAAGCCAGUAACAAAGGCCAUGGCUGUGGAGUGGUAUUGUGGCUGUUCCUUCUGUGCUUCAUGAUGACAUUACACUGCCAUGUUUGCCGUUCAAAUGUGUGUGAGUGUGUAUUCCCUUGUGUGGAAGGCAGUUUUUUCCCUGUUUGCCCAAGCACCACAGUGUGAAAUCCAAUUAAGGAUUGCUGUGAGAUGCAUCUGUGCUGACCAGUGGAUAUGACAGUUUGCGUGAAUCGCGGUUCAGCCACUGCAAGUUGAAGGUGGAGAGAAAGUGCUUCAAAUGGAACACUUAAGCCCAUUUCUGCAGAUAUUAAUGCCAUAGGUACAAUAAGAGUGUUGGUAAAUGCAUUCAUGAGAUGUGGAGCAAAAGCUGUGAUGGAGCGAUUCAGUAGCACGGCAGUGGAAUGGAUCGAGUGCUGUCAGGAAGAGGAGGAAGACUGUCACGCUCAAUUGACAUUGGUUCACCACUUACUGAGGGCUAACGGAAAAGGAAGAUCUUUGGGAGCUAAGUGACAGGCCUAUCACUAUGACUUUUUAUAACCAUUAAGGACAAGAGGAUUACAUUUUGUGUUUGUUCUCAUAAGAACAGUAAAUCCCCUCCAGACUUGCUGAUUUUUGGGAUCAGUCCUUUGACCACUAAUCAUGUAAAAUGAUUUUAAUCUUUUGUUGUUUUUAAAACAUUCACACCAUCAUCAACUAUACAAUAUGGGGGGUUGGUGGACUUAAGAGGGCAGAUGGAGAGUUUCUGCUUUUCUGUUAAAGUUGGGAGAGGCUUUAAUCCAGAUCGUCUUAAAUAAAUCCCUUUCUCCAGCU
Clupea harengus (Atlantic herring) is the source of this 2324-nucleotide long non-coding RNA. RefSeq lists it as uncharacterized. NCBI's taxonomy places the organism in Eukaryota, Metazoa, Chordata, Actinopteri, Clupeiformes, Clupeidae. The record is from RefSeq and is a predicted model, not a curated record. The transcript is spliced from 2 exons.